Molecule: long non-coding RNA, 1404 nt
Organism: Gymnogyps californianus (California condor)
Lineage: Eukaryota; Metazoa; Chordata; Aves; Accipitriformes; Cathartidae
Exons: 3
Source: RefSeq, a predicted model, not a curated record
ACAAAGAGUUAAUUGGAUUAUGGUGCCCGUGUGGCAUAUUAGAUUUACAGAGCUGCGGCUCGCUUCUGGCUCGUGCUGUAAGGACCCGCCGUCUGUCGCUGCUCCGUGCAUGGCACCGCGCUCGCCCGUCAUGCCCGUGGCUGGUGGUCAUGGACCUGCGCCUGCGAGAUCUACCGCCUGAGACACUACCUUCCUCUGCAUGAAGAAGUUAGCUGAGGAACAGGGGAGAAAGAAACCACAGUACUGAAGCUCAGAGCAUGGCUUUGCUGGAGGCAGAUCGUCACAGACACGGGAAAGGACGAAGCAGCCUUGGGAAGCCCUCCUGUGCUGGCUGCCCAGCCCGGCGUGCGCACCGCUGAGUGCUCCUCUGUCCCUGCCUGGACUCUUCUGGUCUCCAUCUCUCCCCAAACUGGUUUUGUCAGGUGAUGCAGAGCAUUACUAGAGCAAUUGGAAAUGUUCAUCUCGCUGAGUAACCACAGAAACUGGUCCUCGCCGUUCACCAGCCUUGUUGGUCUGGAUUUAGAAGAUAAAAACAAAUGGUGGGAGCGUGGUUCGGAAAGACAAAAGUGCUUCCUUGGUCCGUGGCUUUGCAGCUCUAAAAAAACAAUGAAUCGCAGCGCAUUGCAAGCGAUCGUCCUUCGUUAGGCCUGAUGCUGUCUGGGCAGCGGUGCUGAGCCGCAGUACCCGUGGCAGCUCGGAGCGGUCGGUGGUGUGGGCUUCGGAGCCAGCACAGCGCGUGCUGCACAGACAUGCGGAUUUAUGGGACCCUCCCUGGAACGGCCUUUCGUGCUGCGGCUUGCGCCUGGAAGGUUGUUGGGUCUAAACGCACUGGCUGGUUUAUUUGUUUAAAUAAUGAUUCUAUAUUAAGAAGAAAGCCGAAGCCAUGAAAGCCAUGGGGGUCUGCAGUGCCCUCGCCCCUCCGCCAGCCCCAGCCUGCCUCAAGUGACGGCAGGAGCGGGCUGUCCCUGCCGGGCUGUCUGCGGGCAGGUGUCGUGUCCCCGGGGGAGCCGCUCGGGCUCUCUCUGCGGAUAAAUAACGGCCAGAACACAGCUCUGUUAUUCUGGACUUGGCUCAGUUAUGAGGGGAAGGGGAGCUGCUGGAGUCGAUGCCGUGCGAGCAGAAGGAGCUGCACCCGAGCCAAGGGGUGACACAGCUUCCAGUGUUCAAACCUCGGCUCCCACAGGGACCGAGCCUGCAUUCACACUCGCCUCUAUACACUCCAAUCGUUCUCUGGGCUCACCAUCAAAUCUGGGGUAUAACCAGGAUUUAAAAGGCAAUUUGCUCCUCAUUGCAAUGGAAUUAAAGAUACAUUGUGAGUGUUGUGCGGUAAUGCCCCAGCUGUGCGCCAGGUUCGCUUGGAACAUGACAGUGAAUAAAAUGAAAUAUGAGUUUUAUUGAUCUUGU